GACGAACGCUGGCGGCGUGCUUAACACAUGCAAGUCGAACGGAAAGGCCCUGCUUUUGUGGGGUUCUCGAGUGGCGAACGGGUGAGUAACACGUGAGUAACCUGCCCUUGACUUUGGGAUAACUUCAGGAAACUGGGGCUAAUACCGGAUAGGAGCUCCUGCUGCAUGGUGUGGGUUGGAAAGUUUCGGCGGUUGGGGAUGGACUCGCGGUUUAUCAGCUUGUUGGUGGGGUAGUGGAUUACCAAGGCUUUGACGGGUAGCCGGCCUGAGAGGGUGACCGGCCACAGUGGGACUGAGAUACGGCCCAGACGCCUACGGGAGGCAGCAGUGGGGAAUAGUGCACAAUGGGCGGAAGCCUGAUGCAGCAACGCCGCGUGCGGGAUGACGGCCUUCGGGUUGUAAACCGCUUUCGCCUGUGACGAAGCGUGAGUGACGGUAAUGGGUAAAGAAGCACCGGCUAACUACGUG
This 468-nucleotide ribosomal RNA is filed under the name uncultured bacterium. RNAcentral's name for it is "partial 16S ribosomal RNA". It matches the Rfam family "Bacterial small subunit ribosomal RNA", at positions 28 to 507 of the family's 1533-position model. The record is from RNAcentral.